GUAACGUCUGCUGCAAUAGAGCAUAAACCACGACGAGGGAAAACAGUGCUCAUGUAACUAACUCUGUUUUCCUGCCUAAAUAGCAGGGAGAAAGCCCUCGGUAAGACGGGUGCCAGCCGCCGCGGUAAUACCCGCAGCCCGAGGGGUGAUCGAAAAUUGGGGAAAAGCGCCCGUAGCCGGCUCAGUAAAUCCUUGGGUAAAUCGGGCAGCUUAACUGUCCGACUUCCGGGGAGACUGCUUACCUUGGGACUGGGAGAGGUCGGAGGUACUCCGGGGGUAGAGGUGAAAUUCUGUAAUCCCCGGGGGACCACCAGGGGCGAAGGCGUCCGAUUUGAACGGGUCCGACGGUGAGGGACGAAGCCCUGUUUGUACAAACCGGAUUAGAUACCCGGGUAGUCCAGGGUGUAAACGCUGCGGGCUUGCUGUUGGGGGUCCUACGUGGGCGCUCAGUGCCGGAGAGAAUUUGUUAAGCCCCCCCCUUGGGGAGUACGGCCCCAAGACUGAAACUUAAAGGAAUUGGCGGGGGAAAGGGCGAAUUCUUUUAAACCUGCGGGACUAGUCCCUUUAGUGGGGUUAAUUCUGGGCUGGGCGAAAUCAUGGCCAUAGCUGUUUCUGAG
This 617-nucleotide ribosomal RNA is filed under the name uncultured archaeon. Its description in RNAcentral is "bacterial SSU rRNA". It matches the Rfam family "Archaeal small subunit ribosomal RNA", at positions 343 to 1478 of the family's 1478-position model. The record is from RNAcentral.